This 268-nucleotide ribosomal RNA is filed under the name uncultured bacterium. RNAcentral describes it as "partial 16S ribosomal RNA". It matches the Rfam family "Bacterial small subunit ribosomal RNA", at positions 722 to 990 of the family's 1533-position model. The record is from RNAcentral.
CGGGUCUCUGGGCCGUUACUGACGCUGAGGAGCGAAAGCGUGGGGAGCGAACAGGAUUAGAUACCCUGGUAGUCCACGCUGUAAACGUUGGGCACUAGGUGUGGGGCCACCCGUGGUUUCUGCGCCGUAGCUAACGCUUUAAGUGCCCCGCCUGGGGAGUACGGCCGCAAGGCUAAAACUCAAAGGAAUUGACGGGGCCCGCACAAGCGGCGGAGCAUGCGGAUUAAUUCGAUGCAACGCGAAGAACCUUACCAAGGCUUGACAUGUC